GAACUACUCCCUCCGUCCCAAAAUUUUGUUUUAGGUUUGUCUAGAAAUGGAUGUAUCUAAAUACUAUAACAUGACUAGAUACAUUCAUAUUUAGACAAAUGUAAGACAAGAAUUUUGGGACGAAGGAGUACAAA
Molecule: non-coding RNA, 134 nt
Organism: Hordeum vulgare subsp. vulgare (domesticated barley)
Lineage: Eukaryota; Viridiplantae; Streptophyta; Magnoliopsida; Poales; Poaceae
Source: Rfam